AUGGAAAAUAACCUGGAUUAUUUGUUUAUUUUUUUUAGGUGCAUUUCUUGAUCAGCCGCACUUCAAUCGUAUUCUAUCUGUCAGAUGUGCGUUUUGGUACCUGAAGACUUCAAAGUAUUGCAUUGCUUGUGCUGCUCCGAUGAUUUGCUCUACACCAGUUGAUCAGAUUCAGCAGAAUAUAUAAGGUUGUUUUGUUCGAGAAUAAAAUGCAUAAAAUAAAAGUAAAUUGAAAAUCAAA
Long non-coding RNA from Drosophila miranda, 238 nucleotides. RefSeq lists it as uncharacterized. The transcript is spliced from 4 exons. The record is from RefSeq and is a predicted model, not a curated record. Lineage: Eukaryota; Metazoa; Arthropoda; Insecta; Diptera; Drosophilidae.